RNAcentral lists this ribosomal RNA (301 nucleotides) under uncultured bacterium. RNAcentral's name for it is "partial 16S ribosomal RNA". It matches the Rfam family "Bacterial small subunit ribosomal RNA", at positions 509 to 807 of the family's 1533-position model. The record is from RNAcentral.
CAGUAGCCGCGGGAAUACGUAGGGUGCGAGCGUUAAUCGGAAUUACUGGGCGUAAAGCGUGCGCAGGCGGUUGUGUAAGACAGGUGUGAAAUCCCCGGGCUUAACCUGGGAACUGCGCUUGUGACUGCACAGCUAGAGUAUGGCAGAGGGGGGUGGAAUUCCACGUGUAGCAGUGAAAUGCGUAGAGAUGUGGAGGAACACCGAUGGCGAAGGCAGCCCCCUGGGCCAAUACUGACGCUCAUGCACGAAAGCGUGGGGAGCAAACAGGAUUAGAUACCCGCGUAGUCCCUGUCUCUUAUAC